UACGUAGGGCGCAAGCGUUAUCCGGAAUUAUUGGGCGUAAAGAGCUCGUAGGCGGUUUGUCGCGUCUGCCGUGAAAGUCCGGGGCUCAACUCCGGAUCUGCGGUGGGUACGGGCAGACUAGAGUGAUGUAGGGGAGACUGGAAUUCCUGGUGUAGCGGUGAAAUGCGCAGAUAUCAGGAGGAACACCGAUGGCGAAGGCGGGUCUCUGGGCAAUUCCUGACGCUGAGGCGCGAAAGCGUGGGGAGCAAACGGG
Molecule: ribosomal RNA, 253 nt
Filed under: uncultured bacterium
Lineage: Bacteria
Description: partial 16S ribosomal RNA
Rfam family: Bacterial small subunit ribosomal RNA
Source: RNAcentral